Molecule: unclassified non-coding RNA, 438 nt
Filed under: uncultured fungus
Lineage: Eukaryota; Fungi
Description: partial contains ITS1, 5.8S rRNA and ITS2
Rfam family: 5.8S ribosomal RNA (bases 123-277)
Source: RNAcentral
ACCCYCCGUAUUUCUGGGGCCUGGGGGGGGCUCUGUCCUCCUGCCGGGUUUCUAUGUCUUUACACCCACACACUAUAAAAAUGUCUCAGGAAAUGUAUGUGGCGUUUAACGCAAUAAAAUACAACUUUCACCAACGGAUCUCUUGGCUCUCGCAUCGAUGAAGAACGCAGCGAAAUGCGAUAAGUAAUGUGAAUUGCAAAAUUCAGUGAAUCAUCGAAUCUUUGAACGCACCUUGCCCCCUUUGGCUAUUCCGAAGGGCAUGCCUGUUUGAGUAUCAUGAACACCUCAACUCUCGUGGUUUGCCAUGAUGAGCUUGGACUUUGGGGGUCUUGUUGGCCUGUGUGCCACUCCCUCUUAAAUGAAUUACCUUGCCGGUGUUUGGGGGCGCCAUGGGUGUGAUAAAUAUCUACGCUUGUGGUUUCCCACCACCUAACCUUC